AAAAUGCGAUACGUAAUGUGAUAUGCUAGUUGCCGUGAAUCAUUGAAAUCUUGAACGCAAAUUGCGCUAUGAGUGUUACAACUUAUAGCAUACCUGUUUGAGAAUCAUGCAUAAAUACUCAACACUAUUUUGUGUUGGAUUUGAGGUGUCUAAUAAAUUUAUUCUUGUUAGUCCCUUUAAAUGUAGUAUUGGUAACUAUUUGUAUGGUGAUUCUAUUGUUGCUUUGUGACAAAAUUGUGUAUUCCCCAAUUUCAUCUCUGAAUAAGGGAAUAUGUUAACAAUGGAAAAUUGUAAAUUUUCAUAUAUAUUGUCAAACUCCUUGUCUUAUUGUCAUCAAUAAAUUCCAUUCAAACCCUAUAUCAAUUCAAAAAACCCAUUUAUUUUAUUUUAUGAUCUCAAA
This 400-nucleotide unclassified non-coding RNA is filed under the name uncultured fungus. Its description in RNAcentral is "sequence contains ITS1". The stretch from base 1 to 107 matches the Rfam family "5.8S ribosomal RNA", at positions 50 to 154 of the family's 154-position model. The record is from RNAcentral. Lineage: Eukaryota; Fungi.